Long non-coding RNA from Gavialis gangeticus (Gharial), 96 nucleotides. RefSeq lists it as uncharacterized. The record is from RefSeq and is a predicted model, not a curated record. NCBI's taxonomy places the organism in Eukaryota, Metazoa, Chordata, Crocodylia, Gavialidae. The transcript has 3 exons.
GCAGCCCUCACUGUAAAGUAAUAUCUCCCAAUGUCCAGCCUGAACCUUCUCUCUAACAAUUUGUGGCCAUUAUUCCUAGAUCUUUCAGUGUAGGUG